GCAAGUCGAACGAGAAGCUUAACUUCGUUUAAGUGGAGAGUGGCGAACGGGUGAGUAACGCGUAGAUAAUUUACCAUGAGGUCUGGGAUAACCCCUCGAAAGAGGGGCUAAUACCGGAUAAUAAACGGGAUCGAAUGGUUUUGUUUUGAAAGAUUUAUUGCCUUGUGAUGAGUCUGCGUCGCAUUAGCUAGAUGGUGAGGUAAUGGCUCACCAUGGCGACGAUGCGUAGCGGGUCUGAGAGGAUGAUC
Molecule: ribosomal RNA, 248 nt
Filed under: uncultured bacterium
Lineage: Bacteria
Description: partial 16S ribosomal RNA
Rfam family: Bacterial small subunit ribosomal RNA
Source: RNAcentral